AAAUGUCACCGGAUAAACUCUAACUUUGAUUGAUGUGUGAGAUCCAGCAGUCAAUUCUUGGAUUAUUCAGUGUGAAUUGUUGUUUUAAACUUUUUUAUCCUCUGCGUUGAGAGCUUUCCCGCUUUUUUCAAUGGCAGCAAAUUGGGACUCCGACGAGUGGGAAGUCGUCAACGACGAUGGCUUCGUCUACAAGCGCAAGAAACGUCGCUUAGACCGCACUUCCUUCGCUCGUGCUGCAGAUCCCGAACCAGAUCUUACCCUUGCAAUCAAGGAGAAACGAAAAAGAAAACGCGCUGCUUUGCUCAAAAUAAAGGAAAAAUACCAGACAGAAAUUAUUCUCUGGGAAAAUUUGUCGAACACCUUAAAGACAAUGGAAGAAAGUAUGUCUGAACAAGUUGAGGAGAAACAAACGGAGGAGAGAGAGGGAGAGAAGCUUCAAAGAUCGGCUAAUAAAGGGUCUCAAUCCGUUGUUUCCGUCGCAAAUUCUUCUGGCUCUUUGGUUGAUGAGCUUCUUUUGCAGGUGGAAGCACAGGAGGCAAUUAUACGCAGCUUUGAGCAGCUUUGUGAUGUUGCAGAUUCCUUGUGUAAUGCCCAAGAGGAAAAGAAUAAUCAACGUUUCUUUAAUUUGCCAAUUUGGCAUUCACCUCGUGAACUUAUGGCAUCCCUGUGUGAUGAUUGAGAAUUGCUUGGCUUUUGGAGUGUUGGUGGUGAUUGUUGUUUAUGGGCUUAUCAAGUGUUGAGUUACUAGAAUGGUUGGCUUUCGGUAGGCAUCAGGUAAUUAACAUGAUAUGAGGAUUUGAAGUAACAUGGUUGAGGUGAAUCCACCAUUUAGGAUGGAAAAUGUGGCAAGAUCAUGGCUGCUAAAUAAUAAUAAUAACAAAAUGUGAAGCGCUUAGCAUUGUAUCACGAAUUGAGGAAUUUAUGAUGCACUUGAGGAGACUGAUGUGCACACUGUUCUGUAAUGUCCUCUUGCAAGUAAAAAGUGGGUUAGAUGUGGCGCUGAUAAGAAGGGGUUGGAUGGGGCUUUUUCUUCUAGGAAGGAUCGGUUUGCAAUUUUGAUUAAGAAGCAAGGAUUUCAAGGAGGUGCAAAGAAGUUUAAGGCUGUGGCUGGGGCUUGUUGGAAUGGAUGUAAUAUGCUGAUAUUUAAAGGGAAUUUGGUGCAGACCAGCAAAGAUGUGCAAUGACUGGAGACUACUUUCAUUUUGGCUGUUCAAAUUAGAUACGGUUGCUGCAGACAUGUGUGACUUGGGCUGUUUUUUUUGUUUCUUUUUGGGGGUGGGUGGUGGGUGGAGUGUUUGAGACAGCAAUUGCAACACUUUGGCACUUGCAGUUAGUCAAUGUCAGCGUAACUGCAACUCUUAUCAGAACUAAUAGUCUUGUUGGACUCCUGAACUAAUUUCUCUUACAAAGUUCUUUUGAAGGUGACAGUAACAGAGCCUAAGGAGCAAUCUAUCCAAGUGAAUUAUGGAAUUUGGCUGGAUAACAUUUCGGGGAAGAUUACUAACAUAGUUGUGCAGUAUAUUUGUAUGUGUUCUGAUUUUGCAUAUUUAUCAUUUACUGCCUCGGUGUUUGCAGAAAAUUAAAACGAGCUAGGGUGAGGUAAUCUGGCUGUGUUGCUAGCUAAAAAUCUGCUGCAAAUAUGACAUUCAGCGCUGAAGAUACGUGCAGACAAGAAAGAAAUUAAGAACUGACUUUUGGAUUCGUGAAAUUGUUGCCGUUUAUAACUCCUCUGAGAAGCCAUUGUCAUGAUAAUGUUAUCCACCAUGUUACACUAGAUGGAAUACUACAAGAGGGGGGUGAAUUGUAGUUGUAGCUUAUAUGGUAAUUAAUCGAUACAUUUUUUGCAUUGAGUUAGAAAGAUUGAAGGAAUGAGAAUGCAAGAGAGAUUUUCACAUAGAAAAUUCUUGUCUCUAUACAAGAAUAAAAACAA
This is an RNA transcript of Beta vulgaris subsp. vulgaris (sugar beet), 1930 nucleotides long. RefSeq lists it as hypothetical. The transcript has 3 exons. The record is from RefSeq and is a predicted model, not a curated record. NCBI's taxonomy places the organism in Eukaryota, Viridiplantae, Streptophyta, Magnoliopsida, Caryophyllales, Amaranthaceae.